This 443-nucleotide ribosomal RNA is filed under the name uncultured bacterium. Its description in RNAcentral is "partial 16S ribosomal RNA". It matches the Rfam family "Bacterial small subunit ribosomal RNA", at positions 338 to 795 of the family's 1533-position model. The record is from RNAcentral.
CCUACGGGAGGCAGCAGUGGGGGAUAUUGGACAAUGGGGGGAACCCUGAUCCAGCGACGCCGCGUGAGUGAAGAAGUAUUUCGGUAUGUAAAGCUCUGUCAGCAGGGAAGAAAGAAAUGACGGUACCUGACCAAGAAGCCCCGGCUAACUACGUGCCAGCAGCCGCGGUAAUACGGGGGAUGCGAGCGUUAUCCGGAUUUAUUGGGUUUAAAGGGUGCGUAGGCGGCGCUUCAGGUCAGCGGUGAAAUACCGGGGCUCAACCCCGGGGCUGCCGUUGAAACCGGAGCGCUAGAAUUCCGAUGCCGUCGGAGGAAUGUGUGGUGUAGCGGUGAAAUGCAUAGAUAUCACACAGAACACCGAUUGCGAAGGCAUCUGACGAAUCGGAGAUUGACGCUGAUGCACGAAAGCGUGGGUAUCGAACAGGAUUAGAUACCCCAGUAGUC